UAGUCUGGUGCCAGCAGCCGCGGUAAUUCCAGCUCCAAUAGCGUAUAUUAAAGUUGUUGCAGUUAAAACGCUCGUAGUCGGAUUUCGGGGCAGGUUUGCCGGUCUGCCGAUGGGUAUGCACUGGUAGAACUGUCCUUCCUUCCGGAGACGGCGCCUACUCUUAACUGAGCGGGUGUCGGAGACGGAUCGUUUACUUUGAAAAAAUCAGAGUGUUUCAAGCAGGCAGCUCGCUUUUGCAUGGAUUAGCAUGGGAUAAUGAAAUAGGACUUUGGUGCUAUUUUGUUGGUUUCGAACACCGAAGUAAUGAUUAACAGGGACAGUCAGGGGCACUCGUAUUCCGCCGAGAGAGGUGAAAUUCUUAGACCAGCGGAAGACGAACCACUGCGAAAGCAUUUGCCAGGGAUGUUUUCACUGAUCAAGAACGAAAGUUAGGGGAUCGAAGACGAUCAGAUACCGUCCUAGUUCUAACCAUAAACGAUGUCGACUAGGGAUCAGCGGGCGUUAUUGUACGACCCCGUUGGCACCUUACGGGAAACCAAAGUCUUUGGAUUCCGGGGGAAGUAUGGUUGCAAAGCUGAAACUUAAAGGAAUUGACGGAAGGGCACCACCAGGAGUGGAGCCUGUGGCUCAAUUUGACUCAACACGGGAAAACUUACCAGGUCCAGACAUAGUAAGGAUUGACAGGUUGAGAGCCCUUUCUUGAUUCUAUGGGUGGUGGUGCAUGGCCGUUCUU
This 733-nucleotide ribosomal RNA is filed under the name uncultured eukaryote. RNAcentral describes it as "SSU rRNA". It matches the Rfam family "Eukaryotic small subunit ribosomal RNA", at positions 557 to 1295 of the family's 1831-position model. The record is from RNAcentral.